RNAcentral lists this long non-coding RNA (334 nucleotides) under Anas platyrhynchos platyrhynchos (common mallard). RNAcentral describes it as "lncRNA (ENSAPLG00000019628.1)". Lineage: Eukaryota; Metazoa; Chordata; Aves; Anseriformes; Anatidae. The record is from RNAcentral.
CUCCUUCUCUUCCACCAAGACAGGGAUGCCUUCUUGGUAAGCACUGCAUCUUCACUAUUUGAUGAGGAAUACCCAGGGCAGCAUUUUACUACUGCUAUUACUGCUGUUGCAGUUUAUUUCAUUGAAAAAUUCAGCUCCUGAUCAACAAGACUGUUCCAUCAUGUGAAUCAAACCAAGGGACCAUACUAAACGAUUGUGUGUUGCAGUGAGUGGCAAAGAGGAUACAGUAAUGAAGUCAUGAUUCUCUGUUCUUCAGAUGAGAUCAAAGUCUGUAUCAAAGAAUUGUAUCAGAAGAAAACCGCUAAGUAUUGUGAGCAAUAAUAUUACACCCAAG